UGGAUAAGUCUUUACGGAGAAAGCUUUAUGCACCAUUGGAUGAGCCUGCACUUGAUUAGUUUGUUGGUGGGGUAAUGGCCUACCAAGACUGUGAUCAAUAGCUGAUUUGAGAGGAUGAUCAGCCACAUUGGGACUGAGACACGGCCCAAACUCCUACGGGAGGCAGCAGUGGGGAAUCUUGCACAAUGGAGGAAACUCUGAUGCAGCGAUGCCGCGUGAGUGAAGAAGGCCCUUGGGUUGUAAAGCUCUUUCGUCGGGGAAGAAAAUGACUGUACCCGAAUAAGAAGGUCCGGCUAACUUCGUGCCAGCAGCCGCGGUAAUACGAAGGGACCUAGCGUAGUUCGGAAUUACUGGGCUUAAAGAGUUCGUAGGUGGUUGAAAAAGUUGGUGGUGAAAUCCCAGAGCUUAACUCUGGAACUGCCAUCAAAACUUUUCAGCUAGAGUAUGAUAGAGGAAAGCAGAAUUUCUAGUGUAGAGGUGAAAUUCGUAGAUAUUAGAAAGAAUACCAAUUGCGAAGGCAGCUUUCUGGAUCAUUACUGACACUGAGGAACGAAAGCAUGGGUAGCGAAGAGGAUUAGAUACCCUCGUAGUCCAUGCCGUAAACGAUGUGUGUUAGACGUUGGAAAUUUAUUUUCAGUGUCGCAGCGAAAGCGAUAAACACACCGCCUGGGGAGUACGACCGCAAGGUUAAAACUCAAAUGAAUUGACGGGGACCCGCACAAGUAGUGGAGCAUGUGGUUUAAUUCGAAGAUACGCGCAGAACCUUACCAACACUUGACAUGUUCGUCGCGACUUUAAGAGAUUAAAGUUUUCGGUUCGGCCGGACGA
Molecule: ribosomal RNA, 828 nt
Filed under: marine metagenome
Description: bacterial SSU rRNA
Rfam family: Bacterial small subunit ribosomal RNA
Source: RNAcentral